This 806-nucleotide ribosomal RNA is filed under the name uncultured Desulfomicrobium sp. Its description in RNAcentral is "bacterial SSU rRNA". It matches the Rfam family "Bacterial small subunit ribosomal RNA", at positions 243 to 1039 of the family's 1533-position model. The record is from RNAcentral. Lineage: Bacteria; Pseudomonadati; Thermodesulfobacteriota; Desulfovibrionia; Desulfovibrionales; Desulfomicrobiaceae.
AGCUAGUUGGUAGGGUAAUGGCCUACCAAGGCAACGAUGAGUAGCUGGUCUGAGAGGAUGAUCAGCCACACUGGAACUGAAACACGGUCCAGACUCCUACGGGAGGCAGCAGUGGGGAAUAUUGCGCAAUGGGCGAAAGCCUGACGCAGCAACGCCGUGUGAGGGAUGAAGGCUUUCGGGUCGUAAACCUCUGUCGGAAGGGAAGAACGGGCAUUGGUCUAAUAGGCCUUUGUUUUGACGGUACCUUUAGAGGAAGCACCGGCUAACUCCGUGCCAGCAGCCGCGGUAAUACGGAGGGUGCAAGCGUUAUUCGGAAUUACUGGGCGUAAAGCGCACGUAGGCGGCCUUGUAAGUCAGGGGUGAAAUCCCACGGCUCAACCGUGGAACUGCCUUUGAAACUGCAGGGCUUGAAUCCUGGAGAGGGUGGCGGAAUUCCUGGUGUAGGAGUGAAAUCCGUAGAUAUCAGGAGGAACACCGGUGGCGAAGGCGGCCACCUGGACAGGUAUUGACGCUGAGGUGCGAAAGUGUGGGGAGCAAACAGGAUUAGAUACCCUGGUAGUCCACACCGUAAACGAUGGAUACUAGGUGUCGGGGACUUGAUCUUCGGUGCCGUAGCUAACGCGUUAAGUAUCCCGCCUGGGGAGUACGGUCGCAGGCUGAACUCAAAGAAUUGACGGGGGCCCGCACAAGCGGUGGAGUAUGUGGUUUAAUUCGAUGCAACGCGAAGAACCUUACCUAGGCUUGACAUCCUGGGGAAUCCUGCAGAGGAUGGCGGGAGUGCCCUUUCGGGGAAUCCAGAGACAGGU